GAGCGCAUAGGCGAAGGUGUGGAAUCAGGAACAAGCAGUGCGUGGCUGAGUGACAGAGGCAUUACUCCAGAUUGAAAGUAAGAGACUUUGGUGUAGAUAAGCUGUCACUUGCUAUUAAAAGUUCAAAGUCACAUUUGCAGUCACUUCUGGCAAGGAAGAAAGAACUCUGUGAAAUUUUAUUGCACUAUAUGUAUCUUUGAAAAUGACGGCACAUUCUUUUGCAAUGAGAUUUUAUUUAUUUAUUCAUGAGAGACAGAGACAGAGAGAGAGUCAGAGGGAGAAGCAGGCUCCCAAGGAGCAGGAAGCCCGAUGCGGGACUCGAUCCCAGGACCCUGAGAUCAUGACCUGAGCCGAAGGCAGACGCUUAACCAUCUGAGCCACCCAGGCGCCCCCCCCUCACUGAUUUCUGCAAGAAAUCCAAUUGCACCAAGAUUGUGAGUUUUGGAAUAUUACUUCAAUCUGUGGGGCCAGAAGAAGGAGUUCACUCUGAGGAGCAUGCAGCCAUCUUUGAUAGGGCCCUCCCACCCGCACCCCCCCACCCUCUGUCUCACUGCCCUUUUAAGGGUCCAUGGUGCCCACCUGUGACCCUCCUCUUUAUGCAGUCCCUCUAACAUGUGCAAUCCUGUCCCCACGGCCAGCUUCCUCAGAAGCAGCAAGUGCCUGGGCCUCCGUACCGGCUGAAGAUUGUGGCGGACAUAUUAAAUCACAUGG
This is a long non-coding RNA of Mirounga angustirostris (Northern elephant seal), 711 nucleotides long. RefSeq lists it as uncharacterized. NCBI's taxonomy places the organism in Eukaryota, Metazoa, Chordata, Mammalia, Carnivora, Phocidae. The transcript is spliced from 4 exons. The record is from RefSeq and is a predicted model, not a curated record.